Molecule: ribosomal RNA, 253 nt
Filed under: uncultured bacterium
Lineage: Bacteria
Description: partial 16S ribosomal RNA
Rfam family: Bacterial small subunit ribosomal RNA
Source: RNAcentral
UACAGAGGUCUCAAGCGUUGUUCGGAUUCAUUGGGCGUAAAGGGUGCGUAGGUGGCGCGGUAAGUCGGGUGUGAAAUUUCGGAGCUUAACUCCGAAACUGCAUUCGAUACUGCCGUGCUUGAGGACUGGAGAGGAGACUGGAAUUUACGGUGUAGCGGUGAAAUGCGUAGAUAUCGUAAGGAAGACCAGUGGCGAAGGCGGGUCUCUGGACAGUUCCUGACGCUGAGGCACGAAGGCCAGGGGAGCAAACAGG